AGCAGCCGCGGUAAUUCCAGCUCCAAUAGCGUAUAUUAAAGUUGUUGCAGUUAAAAAGCUCGUAGUUGAAUUUCGGGAUCAAUAUGUUGGUCGUGCCUUGGUACGUACUGGCAUUAUCGAUUCCUACCUUCUGAAGAACCUCGAUGUCAUUAAUUUGGUGUCUUGGGGAAUCAGGACUGUUACUUUGAAAAAUUAGAGUGUUUAAAGCAGGCUCGCGCUUGAAUACAUUAGCAUGGAAUAAUGAAAUAGGACGUUUGAUUCUAUUUUGUUGGUUUCUAGGAUCGACGUAAUGAUUAAUAGGGAUAGUUGGGGGCAUUAGUAUUCAAUUGUCAGAGGUGAAAUUCUUGGAUUUAUUGAAGACUAACUACUGCGAAAGCAUUUGCCAAGGAUGUUUUCAUUAAUCAAGAACGAAAGUUAGGGGAUCGAAGACGAUCAGAUACCGUCGUAGUCUUAACCAUAAACUAUGCCGACUAGGGAUCGGAUGAUGUUAAUUUUUAAUGACUCAUUCGGCUACCG
Molecule: unclassified non-coding RNA, 516 nt
Filed under: uncultured Glomus
Lineage: Eukaryota; Fungi; Glomeromycota; Glomeromycetes; Glomerales; Glomeraceae
Description: SSU rRNA
Rfam family: Eukaryotic small subunit ribosomal RNA
Source: RNAcentral